AGUAUUUUAUGCAACAGUUGUAUAAGAAGGGUCAAAAAAUGCGAGUGGCGUGAGUUGCGAUGUGAGCCUUGGCGAACAUCGCAAUAAGAGACGCCACGAGCAUUUUUUGACCUAGUUAUACAACGUUGCAUACAAUACUUUUUCUACGACGACGUAAUUUUAAAUGAAACAAAAAUUUUCCAAUUUAUUUUCCAACGCGCGGGAAAAUGGCGGCAAAUGUAUACUUUUUUUUUAUAGUAUAUCUAUGGCACCAAACAAAGUAAAGGUGCCAGUUUCCAGGUCAAAAAAAAAAACAACAACAAUGCUUUUUUGGCGACAUUAUAGUACAGUUACACUUUGUAAACAAUGCUUUUAUAGGCCAUAGAGCGUACACUUUUUCAAAGAGUUUAAUUAUGUAUGUACUUAUAUUAGACUUUUUGGUUAUUUAAAUGCCAGAUUAAAGUAGAGGAGUAGAAAAAAACAUUUAAA
Pectinophora gossypiella (pink bollworm) is the source of this 468-nucleotide long non-coding RNA. RefSeq lists it as uncharacterized. Lineage: Eukaryota; Metazoa; Arthropoda; Insecta; Lepidoptera; Gelechiidae. The transcript is spliced from 2 exons. The record is from RefSeq and is a predicted model, not a curated record.